CCUACGGGGGGCAGCAGUGGGGAAUAUUGCACAAUGGGGGAAACCCUGAUGCAGCAACGCCGCGUGAGUGAAGAAGGUUUUCGGAUUGUAAAGCUCUGUUAGCAGGGAAGAGAAUGACGGUAACUGACAAAGAAGCCCCGGCUAACUACGUGCCAGCAGCCGCGGUAAUACGUAGGGUGCAAGCGUUAUUCGGAAUUACUGGGUGUAAAGGGCGCGUAGGCGGGAGAGCAAGUCUGAUGUGAAAUCCUAUGGCUUAACCAUGGAACUGCAUUUGAAACUGUGCAGCUAGAGUGCAGGAGAGGUAAGUGGAAUUCCUAGUGUAGCGGUGAAAUGCGUAGAGAUUAGGAGGAACACCAGUGGCGAAGGCGACUUACUGGACUGUAACUGACGCUGAGGCGCGAGAGCGUGGGGAGCAAACAGGAUUAGAUACCCUAGUAGUC
RNAcentral lists this ribosomal RNA (440 nucleotides) under uncultured bacterium. RNAcentral describes it as "partial 16S ribosomal RNA". It matches the Rfam family "Bacterial small subunit ribosomal RNA", at positions 338 to 795 of the family's 1533-position model. The record is from RNAcentral.